GACAGAGGGUGCAAACGUUGUUCGGAAUUACUGGGCGUAAAGCGAGUGUAGGCGGUUUGGUAAGUCGGAUGUGAAAGCCCCGGGCUCAACCCGGGAAGUGCACUCGAUACUGCCAAGCUAGAGUAUCGGAGAGGUUGGUGGAAUUCUCGGUGUAGAGGUGAAAUUCGUAGAUAUUGGGAAGAACACCGGUGGCGAAGGCGGCUCACUGGUCCGAUACUGACGUUUGAGGUGCGGAAAAGCGUGGGGGAGCAAACAGG
This 257-nucleotide ribosomal RNA is filed under the name uncultured bacterium. RNAcentral's name for it is "partial 16S ribosomal RNA". It matches the Rfam family "Bacterial small subunit ribosomal RNA", at positions 524 to 776 of the family's 1533-position model. The record is from RNAcentral.